This 388-nucleotide long non-coding RNA is filed under the name Lathyrus oleraceus (garden pea). RNAcentral describes it as "Pisum sativum (pea) long non-coding RNA (PSAT_LNC024841)". The record is from RNAcentral. Lineage: Eukaryota; Viridiplantae; Streptophyta; Magnoliopsida; Fabales; Fabaceae.
UGAUUCUUGUUACGGGAGAAUAUUUUCCAUCAUUCUCAUUGCCAUAGAGAAUAAGAGAUUCAUGAAGAUCGAAUCUUAACAAAAAAAUUAUAUUUUUUAAUCAAAACUAUGACAUUAAUAUUUCGUUAUUUUUUCCUUUUAAAAAAACAUAUAUUUUUUGCAUCUUUUAAAAAAAACACAUUUUUCAUCAAUAACAAAAGAAAAUGCAAAAAUGUUUGUAUUUAGGAAAACAUAACAAUUAAUUCCCUAAUUGAAUGAAAAAUAGAUUACUAGGUGAAGUAUAAUGAAGAUGAAUACUAAUUACCAAAACCAUAAUGAACAAAAGAGAGAGGUUGUUGUGAUGAUGAUGAGAACAAAAAAGAUGAGAUAUGAAGGAGAAAGAGAAUUG